GGGUGAUCGGCCACAUUGGAACUGAGACACGGUCCAAACUCCUACGGGAGGCAGCAGUGGGGAAUAUUGCACAAUGGGCGAAAGCCUGAUGCAGCAACGCCGCGUGAGUGAUGAAGGACUUCGGGUCGUAAAACUCUGUCCUCAAGGAAGAUAAUGACGGUACUUGAGGAGGAAGCCCCGGCUAACUACGUGCCAGCAGCCGCGGUAAUACGU
This 213-nucleotide ribosomal RNA is filed under the name Clostridioides difficile. RNAcentral's name for it is "partial 16S ribosomal RNA". It matches the Rfam family "Bacterial small subunit ribosomal RNA", at positions 298 to 528 of the family's 1533-position model. The record is from RNAcentral. Lineage: Bacteria; Bacillati; Bacillota; Clostridia; Peptostreptococcales; Peptostreptococcaceae.